GACGAACGCUGGCGGCGUGCCUAAUACAUGCAAGUAGAACGCACAGUUUAUACCGUAGCUUGCUACACCAUAAACUGUGAGUUGCGAACGGGUGAGUAACGCGUAGGUAACCUGCCUGGUAGCGGGGGAUAACUAUUGGAAACGAUAGCUAAUACCGCAUAAUAUUGAUUAUUGCAUGAUAAUUGAUUGAAAGAUGCUAUUGCAUCACUACCAGAUGGACCUGCGUUGUAUUAGCUAGUAGGUGAGGUAACGGCUCACCUAGGCGACGAUACAUAGCCGACCUGAGAGGGUGAUCGGCCACACUGGGACUGAGACACGGCCCAGACUCCUACGGGAGGCAGCAGUAGGGAAUCUUCGGCAAUGGACGAAAGUCUGACCGAGCAACGCCGCGUGAGUGAAGAAGGGUUUCGGAUCGUAAAGCUCUGUUGUAAGAGAAGAAUGGGUGUGAGAGUGGAAAGUUCACACUGUGACGGUAUCUUACCAGAAAGGGACGGCUAACUACGUG
RNAcentral lists this ribosomal RNA (505 nucleotides) under uncultured bacterium. RNAcentral's name for it is "partial 16S ribosomal RNA". It matches the Rfam family "Bacterial small subunit ribosomal RNA", at positions 28 to 507 of the family's 1533-position model. The record is from RNAcentral.